Long non-coding RNA from Hyaena hyaena (striped hyena), 548 nucleotides. RefSeq lists it as uncharacterized. NCBI's taxonomy places the organism in Eukaryota, Metazoa, Chordata, Mammalia, Carnivora, Hyaenidae. The record is from RefSeq and is a predicted model, not a curated record. The transcript has 3 exons.
AAUAAAUAACACAGAGGUAAUUUUUGGAGAUAACCUGAGGGCACUGUUUUUUUCCACUAGGGAAUCUCAUGCCGCAUGGUACCUGACUCAGUGUAACAGCACCAUGAAAGAAAGAAGGUCACGGUGUUGCAUUCACUGAACAGCUUUCCUACUAUUUAGCUUCUUGGAAUGGGAGGAAGACAAACAUAUUGAGUAAAAGGACAUUGUACAGCAGAAGUGAGAUUCUAUGUGCAGAAGAGACAUGAUCUUCACACAGAGAUAGGCCACUCAGGAGAACAGAGCUGUGGUGGCAGAGCCACUAAAUGGAAAUCAUGUGUUUCGCUAAACCAUGGUAAAGAGGACAGCUGCCAUGAAGAGAUCAGCGGAGAGCUUUAAGAACAGGAUAAAUACCCAUCUGCCUGGAAAAUCGCCUGCAGGCAGGGUGAUGGACUAGAUGUCUUACUUAGAUUCCUUCCAACCUUCUGAUUCAGAGCUCUCCACUGCUGCCAACAGAGUUAGUUCUGGUGGGAUACAUUCAGGACUGCAGACCCUCCUGCCUGUGCAUAAUG